GUGAGUGUAGCUCAGGGGUAGAGCGCCGGACUGUGGCUCCGGAUGUCGCGGGUUCAAAUCCCGUCACUCACCCCA
RNAcentral lists this transfer RNA (75 nucleotides) under Acidobacteriota bacterium. RNAcentral describes it as "Acidobacteria bacterium (groundwater metagenome) tRNA-His". It matches the Rfam family "tRNA". Rfam says of the family: Transfer RNA (tRNA) molecules are approximately 80 nucleotides in length. Their secondary structure includes four short double-helical elements and three loops (D, anti-codon, and T loops). RNAcentral also lists the same sequence under 2 other names. Lineage: Bacteria; Pseudomonadati; Acidobacteriota. The record is from RNAcentral.